GGCUCUCAGAGGCGAUGAAGGACGUGAUAAGCUGCGAUAAGCCACGGGGAUCAGCACAUAUGAAUUGAUCCGUGGAUUUCCGAAUGGGACAACCCAGCAGGUUGAAGACCUGUUACUCCGUAAGGAGGGCAAACCCGGGGAACUGAAACAUCUAAGUACCCGGAGGAAGAGAAAACAAUUAGUGAUUCCGUUAGUAGGGGCGAGCGAACG
This 210-nucleotide ribosomal RNA is filed under the name Rhodosorus marinus. RNAcentral describes it as "partial Bacterial large subunit ribosomal RNA". It matches the Rfam family "Bacterial large subunit ribosomal RNA", at positions 35 to 259 of the family's 2925-position model. Lineage: Eukaryota; Rhodophyta; Stylonematophyceae; Stylonematales; Stylonemataceae. The record is from RNAcentral.